RNAcentral lists this unclassified non-coding RNA (306 nucleotides) under Chromocyphella sp. RNAcentral describes it as "partial contains 5.8S ribosomal RNA, internal transcribed spacer 2, and large subunit ribosomal RNA". The record is from RNAcentral. Lineage: Eukaryota; Fungi; Basidiomycota; Agaricomycetes; Agaricales; Chromocyphellaceae.
CGCACCUUGCGCUCCUUGGCAUUCCGAGGAGCAUGCCUGUUUGAGUGUCAUUAAAUUAUCAACUAUACCUGCUUUCACGAGUUUUGGUAAUGGCUUGGAUGUGGGGGAUAUUGCUGGCUUCGUCGAGAAGUUUGCUCCCCUCAAAUGUAUUAGCCGGUGCCCCGUGUGGAAUCGUCUAUUGGUGUGAUAAUUAUCUACGCCCUGGACAUCCGCUUUAAUGGGUUGUGCUGCUUCUAAUCGUCUAUCAAGUUAGACAAUUAAUGACAAUUUGACCUCAAAUCAGGUAGGACUACCCGCUGAACUUAA